UGAACGCUGGCGGCAGGCCUAACACAUGCAAGUCGAACGGUAACAGGAAACAGCUUGCUGUUUCGCUGACGAGUGGCGGACGGGUGAGUAAUGUCUGGGAAACUGCCUGAUGGAGGGGGAUAACUACUGGAAACGGUAGCUAAUACCGCAUAACGUCGCAAGACCAAAGAGGGGGACCUUCGGGCCUCUUGCCAUCGGAUGUGCCCAGAUGGGAUUAGCUAGUAGGUGGGGUAACGGCUCACCUAGGCGACGAUCCCUAGCUGGUCUGAGAGGAUGACCAGCCACACUGGAACUGAGACACGGUCCAGACUCCUACGGGAGGCAGCAGUGGGGAAUAUCGCACAAUGGGCGCAAGCCUGAUGCAGCCAUGCCGCGUGUAUGAAGAAGGCCUUCGGGUUGUAAAGUACUUUCAGCGGGGAGGAAGGGAGUAAAGUUAA
This 437-nucleotide ribosomal RNA is filed under the name uncultured Escherichia sp. RNAcentral's name for it is "bacterial SSU rRNA". It matches the Rfam family "Bacterial small subunit ribosomal RNA", at positions 30 to 463 of the family's 1533-position model. Lineage: Bacteria; Pseudomonadati; Pseudomonadota; Gammaproteobacteria; Enterobacterales; Enterobacteriaceae. The record is from RNAcentral.